Long non-coding RNA from Triticum aestivum (bread wheat), 1445 nucleotides. RefSeq lists it as uncharacterized. The record is from RefSeq and is a predicted model, not a curated record. The transcript is spliced from 4 exons. Lineage: Eukaryota; Viridiplantae; Streptophyta; Magnoliopsida; Poales; Poaceae.
UUCCAUUACCAAAAAACACCCCCGUUCACAAAAAAGAGACCUGAACCAAUCGUAAUCUCUUUCUCAAUCUCAUCUCUCUCUCUCUCUCUCUCUCGAACUCUCUCGAACUCCCAGGUCUCUCUGCAUCUCCCCAUGAUGACCAGAUCCAUAUCUCUCAAAUUGGAGCAAGAAAUUUAGGCAUGGAUCCCUCUCUCAAUCACGUCUAUCUCUUUCUAUCAAACUCUCAGGUCUCUUCUCUCCUCACCUCAAAUUGCAGCAAGGACUCUUUUAUCCUCACCUCAAAUUGCAUCAAGGACUCUUCUAUCCUCACCUCAAAUUGCAGCAAGGACGUUAGGGCGUGGAUCUCCUGCGCUCAACGAGAUUGGAUUCAAAAAAAAUCUAAGGAUUCAAUUUUAAAUCUAAUCUUCUCACGUAUGCUCUUUGGAUACAUCAUGAAGAUCGGUUUGGGGCAGAAGUAAGCCCAUAAGGCUAGCUUAUAAAUUAAGCAUGCAACCUAACAUAGACCAUCUCAAAUCAAGGAGGCUCUAUUCGUUGUCAGCAUCGUCAUUGCUCAGAUUCUCCUAUUAGGUCAAAUUCUUUUGUUUUCAAUUGAAACAAUGGCAUAUGAUAUGCUCGAUGCGAUUAACAAUGGGAAGGAUUCCUGGAAAGCGAAGGUCGGAGUAAUUAGGCUAUGGGACGCCAUUAACCUCAAUAACAAUGAACUAAUUAGCCUUGACAUGAUACUGCUUGAUGAACAGGGCACUAUGAUACAUGCCAAGGUAAUAAAACAUAUUGAUGCGGAGCAUCCUUCCAUCAUCCCCAUGGACUCUACAGCAACACAUCCAACCCCUCAAGGACCCAUGACUCGAGCACGUGCAAGAGCUCUUGAAACCGAGGUGACAUCACUCCUCUCACAAUUCCCUUUCGAUUCACAUGAGACAUGGUUACUACCUCAAACGGAAACGCUAUGCAUACUCAGGUACCAAGGAGUUCACCGUGAAGAAGCUAGGAAGCAAGGAGAACCGGAAGCGGAAGACAUGCAUGAAGAUGGAGAGGAAAAAGCACCAAGGACCAGGGUGGCCGGACGAUCCGGACGGCGGCCCGGACGAUCCGGACAGAGCCCGGACGAUCCGGACCCCGGCCCGGACGAUCCGGCUAAAUCGACCGAAGACUACAGAAGCCUCCCCCCUGAAGCCGGAUCAUCCGGACCCCGUCCCGGAUCAUCCAGACCCUGCUCGGAUGUCCGGACCGCCAGUCGGACAUCCGGCCCUGCGCCUCCACCAGCCGAGUCUUCGGAUCAUCCGGGCCUCCACCCGGAUCAUCCAGACCAGCCCGGAUCAUCCGGCUCCGGACCCGGAUCAUCCGGCCAGCGCCUGUGUGCGUGUGUUGGGCUGAGCCCAUGUACCCCUUUGCCCCUAGCCUAUAAAUAGGACUCCUCCUCCUCCUUUUGAGACUUAGCAUUGGAU